CUUAAAACUUCCGUGUCCAUAAUUUCAGUUUCCCUCCUCGGCUCCUUUUCACUCUACAGUCUGAUCUUUCUCGUCUGAAGCAGCCGUGCACUAAAAGCUAUGAAGCUCGAUAAAUUAUGCUUAGGAUUUUCAAGAUAUCAAAUGCAAUGGAGAAGUGGAGAUUAGGUAAUGCUGAAAUUUCAUGAAUGAGAGAACUCGUUAUGCCGAUUGAGCGUGGAAGUUGUCUUGGCAGAGAACCUAAAAUCAAGUUAAGCAAGUGGAGAAUAUAUGGGCUGCCAAAUUGAAAUUCAUCUUAUUUUCCUUUUGAAUUAAAAAUAUAUAUGAAGCAUCAUGGAGUACUAAGAGAGGGAAAGAUAAAAAAGGAACUUUCCAUUUUGGGAUUCAAGAAUUGAGAAAGGUAAGAAAAACAUUGAUGAAAAUAGGUGUGCACUAAGUGUAGCUCUAUUCCCAAGGAUCCAAGGCACCGAAUUUUACUUCUAGUAAUGGCACCAACUAAAGCCUUUGGACUAUAUGUCUUCUGACAGUUCAUCAUAUUUUGUUUCGUUUUUGUUCUCUUCCCCUUUAAAGCUACUUUCAAUAUUCCCCUUUUUAAAAAAUAGCCUCAUCACCUUUUUAUUUCCUAUAGUUUAUGCUUGAUUUCGAUGGCUAGGGCUUAUAAUUUGAAUGUUUCAAUUUGCUUCGUAUAGUUUGUUAUAUCACUUUUUGUUUUUUUGGCUUCCAUUAAUAAUUUUCUUGUCUAAUUUGUUUUAGUUCAUCUCAU
Long non-coding RNA from Cucumis sativus (cucumber), 760 nucleotides. RefSeq lists it as uncharacterized. The record is from RefSeq and is a predicted model, not a curated record. NCBI's taxonomy places the organism in Eukaryota, Viridiplantae, Streptophyta, Magnoliopsida, Cucurbitales, Cucurbitaceae. The transcript is spliced from 3 exons.